UGGGGCACUGCUAAUGAGAGAGGUGAUCCCCGGCUGGGAGUGUGAUACACCCCAAGGGGAUAGGGGCGCGGCCAUUAUUUAUUAGGGAGGCAGCAGGGGAGAUUGUGGACAACGGGCCGAGAGUCUGAUCCAGCAAUUUGGGAUUCAGGAUGAAGUUUUUCGGAAAGUAAAGUCUUUUCAGGGGGAAGAAAGAAAAGACGCUACCAACAGAAGAUGGGACGGCUAAAUUCGUGCCAGCACCCGCGUUAAUACGUAUGUCACGAGCUUUAUCCGUAUUUAUUUGGCAUAAAGCGCGUAUAGGCGGUUAUAUAAGUCUGAUGAGAAAAUGCAGGGUCCACCUCUGUAUUGCUUUGGAAACUGUAUAACUAGAGUCCGGAGAGGUAAGCGGAACUACAAGAGUAGAGGUGAAAUUAGUAGAUAUUUGUAGGAAUCCCGAUGGGGAAGCCAGCUUAAAGGACAGAUACUGACGCUGAAGCGAGAAAGCGUGGGUAGCAAACAGG
Molecule: ribosomal RNA, 500 nt
Filed under: uncultured Enterobacteriaceae bacterium
Lineage: Bacteria; Pseudomonadati; Pseudomonadota; Gammaproteobacteria; Enterobacterales; Enterobacteriaceae
Description: bacterial SSU rRNA
Rfam family: Bacterial small subunit ribosomal RNA
Source: RNAcentral